This 805-nucleotide ribosomal RNA is filed under the name uncultured bacterium. Its description in RNAcentral is "bacterial SSU rRNA". It matches the Rfam family "Bacterial small subunit ribosomal RNA", at positions 8 to 796 of the family's 1533-position model. The record is from RNAcentral.
AGAGUUUGAUCCUGGCUCAGGACGAACGCUGGCGGCGUGCCUAAUACAUGCAAGUCGAGCGAAUCUUUGGGAGCUUGCUCCCAAUGGUUAGCGGCGGACGGGUGAGUAACACGUGGGCAACCUACCUGUAAGACUGGGAUAACUUCGGGAAACCGGAGCUAAUACCGGAUAAUCCAUUUCCUCUCAUGAGGAAAUGCUGAAAGUCGGUUUCGGCUGACACUUACAGAUGGGCCCGUGGCGCAUUAGCUAGUUGGUGAGGUAACGGCUCACCAAGGCGACGAUGCGUAGCCGACCUGAGAGGGUGAUCGGCCACACUGGGACUGAGACACGGCCCAGACUCCUACGGGAGGCAGCAGUAGGGAAUCUUCCACAAUGGACGAAAGUCUGAUGGAGCAACGCCGCGUGAGCGAUGAAGGCCUUCGGGUCGUAAAGCUCUGUUGUUAGGGAAGAACAAGUACCGGAGUAACUGCCGGUACCUUGACGGUACCUAACCAGAAAGCCACGGCUAACUACGUGCCAGCAGCCGCGGUAAUACGUAGGUGGCAAGCGUUGUCCGGAAUUAUUGGGCGUAAAGCGCGCGCAGGCGGUCCUUUAAGUCUGAUGUGAAAGCCCACGGCUCAACCGUGGAGGGUCAUUGGAAACUGGGGGACUUGAGUGCAGAAGAGGAAAGCGGAAUUCCACGUGUAGCGGUGAAAUGCGUAGAGAUGUGGAGGAACACCAGUGGCGAAGGCGGCUUUCUGGUCUGUAACUGACGCUGAGGCGCGAAAGCGUGGGGAGCAAACAGGAUUAGAUACCCCGGUAGUCC